CUCAUUUCCUUCUUCCUCUCUCUCUUGAUGGAAAAAAUAUUCUUCUUCCUUCUUCAUGGUGGCCGAAUCCCUUUUCCAUAAAAAAAAAAAAAAAUUCUUCCACAAGAAUUAGGAGAAACAAUUGUUUAAGGUGUGAAAGUUUGAGAGAGCAAGAGUAGACUUGAAUUUCUUGAGGAUUUCUAAGGAUAUGAAUCGAAUGAAGCUUGGAUUGUACGAGAGCGUUAGUUGAAGAAACAAAAAAAUUAAUGUAAUAGUUAUUAGCUUCAUUUUUGGUGGAUUUUAAUAGUGUAUUUUAUAAGGGAUAGUGUUUUCCCUAAGAAUUUAUUUUUGGAUUGAGGUUUAUUAUUUCAAUUUGGAUUAGCCUUGCAUUUAGCCCAUGAUAGGUUAGAUGUGGCAGUAGCAUCCCUAUUCAGUUUAGUUUUGUAAAGCUUCCGCAAUAUUGUUAGUGAAUUAUUAAGAAAAAAAAAAUUAAGGAAAA
This is a long non-coding RNA of Ipomoea triloba (trilobed morning glory), 478 nucleotides long. RefSeq lists it as uncharacterized. The record is from RefSeq and is a predicted model, not a curated record. Lineage: Eukaryota; Viridiplantae; Streptophyta; Magnoliopsida; Solanales; Convolvulaceae. The transcript is spliced from 2 exons.